This 490-nucleotide ribosomal RNA is filed under the name uncultured bacterium. RNAcentral's name for it is "partial 16S ribosomal RNA". It matches the Rfam family "Bacterial small subunit ribosomal RNA", at positions 30 to 507 of the family's 1533-position model. The record is from RNAcentral.
AUUGAACGCUGGCGGCAGGCUUAACACAUGCAAGUCGAGCGGUAGCACAGGGGAGCUUGCUCCCUGGGGGACGAGCGGCGGACGGGUGAGUCAUGUCUGGGAAACUGCCUGAUGGAGGGGGAUAACUACUGGAAACGGUAGCUAAUACCGCAUAACGUCUCAAGACCAAAGAGGGGGAGCGUCGGGCCGCUUGCCAGCAAAUUAGCCCCGAUGGGAUUCGCUAGUAGGUGGGGUAAUGGCUCACCUAGGCGCCGAUCCAUAGCUGGUCUGAGAGGAUGACGCGCCACACUGGAACUGAGACACGGUCCAGACUCCUACGGGAGGCAGCAGUGGGGAAUAUUGCACAAUGGGCGCAAGCCUGAUGCAGCCAUGCCGCGUGUGUGAAGAAGGCCUUCGGGUUGUAAAGCACUUUCAGCGAGGAGGAAGGUGGUGAGCUUAAUACGUUCAUCAAUUGACGUUACUCGCAGAAGAAGCACCGGCUAACUCCGUG